AGACGACUCCCGGCAACGGAUAUCUCGGCUCUCGCAUCGAUGAAGAACGUAGCGAAAUGCGAUACAUGGUGUGAAUUGCAGAAUCCCGUGAACCAUCGAGUCUUUGAACGCAAGUUGCGCCCGAGGGACCAUCCCGAGGGCACGUCUGCCUCUCGGGCGUUAGAAG
RNAcentral lists this ribosomal RNA (166 nucleotides) under Eleocharis interstincta. Its description in RNAcentral is "5.8S ribosomal RNA". It matches the Rfam family "5.8S ribosomal RNA". Rfam says of the family: 5.8S ribosomal RNA (5.8S rRNA) is a component of the large subunit of the eukaryotic ribosome. It is transcribed by RNA polymerase I as part of the 45S precursor that also contains 18S and 28S rRNA. Functionally, it is thought that 5.8S rRNA may be involved in ribosome translocation. The record is from RNAcentral. Lineage: Eukaryota; Viridiplantae; Streptophyta; Magnoliopsida; Poales; Cyperaceae.